GUACACGCUGUGACUAGCAUAUCAAUAAGCGGAGGAAAAGAAACUAACAAGGAUUCCCCUAGUAACGGCGAGUGAAGCGGGAAGAGCUCAAAUUUGAAAUCUUAAAGGGUUUCCCUUUACGAAUUGUAGUUUAAAGAAGUGUUUUCUGUUGAGGUUUUGGUAAAAGUUCUUUGGAAUAGGACAUCAUCGAGGGUGAGAAUCCCGUAUUUGACCUUUACUUUCAACUUUGUGAUACACUUUCAAAGAGUCGGAUUGUUUGGGAAUGCAGUCCAAAAUGGGUGGUAAAUUUCAUCUAAAGCUAAAUAUUGGCGAGAGACCGAUAGCGAACAAGGUACCGUGAGGGAAAGAUGAAAAGAACUUUGAAAAGAGAGUUAAACAGUACGUGAAAUUGUCAAAAGGGAAGCGUUUGACACCAGUGUUGUUUUUCUGAAAAUCAAUUAAAGAACUGUUUAUGCUAAGCUGUUUAGACUUUAUCAGCUAUCUGUUUAGUUUUGAGCUUUUCUUUAAUGCACUUUUCAGUUAACAAGUCAACAUCAAUUUCUUUUGCUGUAAAAAAGCUUGAGGAAGGUGGCUUGAGAUUCGUCUUAAGUGUUUAUAGCCUCUUGCCUAUGCAGUCGGAGAGAUUGAGGUCUGCAGCGUAGAUCCUUCGGGGCUAAAUGCAUUUGUGCUAAGUUAUAGCAUUUUAUAGACAACUUGUUGACUAUGAUUUGUCUUGUAGCUUACUCGCUUAUGUUAUUUUACCUACGCUUAGGAUGUUGACGCGCGUGUGUGCGUG
RNAcentral lists this ribosomal RNA (775 nucleotides) under uncultured Neocallimastigales. RNAcentral's name for it is "partial large subunit ribosomal RNA". It matches the Rfam family "Eukaryotic large subunit ribosomal RNA", at positions 22 to 639 of the family's 3401-position model. Lineage: Eukaryota; Fungi; Neocallimastigomycota; Neocallimastigomycetes; Neocallimastigales. The record is from RNAcentral.